This is a long non-coding RNA of Cucumis melo (muskmelon), 1825 nucleotides long. RefSeq lists it as uncharacterized. The record is from RefSeq and is a predicted model, not a curated record. The transcript has 5 exons. NCBI's taxonomy places the organism in Eukaryota, Viridiplantae, Streptophyta, Magnoliopsida, Cucurbitales, Cucurbitaceae.
UCAUCUCCGCCUUUCUCUUCCAAAUCCAUCGAUCUCUCACGCCUCCAUCUCACCGACCGCCGUAGAACAUUGCUAUACUCCGGUCGCCCAUAUUCUCCACGUUGCUCAUCGAUCGCCGCAGAUCGUUGCUAUACGCCAGCCGCCCGUUCUCCACAUUGCUCUAUACUGGCUGCUUCUCCUCUCCACGUUGCUCUAUCUAAACUGCCCCUCUCCAAACGCUAAACUCGCCACCACACAAACGCUAAAAACGCCGAUCGCCGCCACAUUUCGCUGGGAAGAAAAUGAAGUGGUGAUUCGAACUUGGGUUCCACGUCAAUUUAUGUCCAAAGUCAAUUUCUAUCAAUGGAACAAGUCUGAAGAAUAAGUAUGAUGGUACUCUUUUAUCUACUUCAAAACCGAUGCAAAUGAUCAAAAGCAUGGCGUGCAUGUGAGGUUGCGUUGGAUGAGAUUCGAGGAUCUCUAGAAGACUCCUAUAAGAUGAUACCUAAACUUGCUUAGAUAUUGGAACUCAACAACCCAGGUUCUGUUGUUGAAUACAAAGUUAAUGCCGAUGGUAGAUUUAUAUACUUCUUCAUGGCAUUAUCUACUUUCAUUUUUUGUUGGCAACAUUGUCGCCCAGUCAAUUUCUAUCAAUGGAACAAGUCUGAAGAAUAAGUAUGAUGGUACUCUUUUAUCUACUUCAACACCGAUGCAAAUGAUCAAAUAUUUCCACUAGCCUUUUAUGUUGUUGAUUUUGAGAAUGAUUCCUCUUGAACCUGGUUUUGCAAUAAAUUGAAGAGAAUUAUAGGUGGACAUAAUGAGGUUGUCAUAGUAUCUGAUAGGCAUAAAAGUAUAUGCAAAGUCAUAGAGGUAGUAUUUCCCAACGUUGUAUAUUGCAUGUGUCGUGUUCAUUUACUUAUGAACCUAAAGUUGAAGUACAAGAGAAUAGUUAAUAUCGUAUUUCAUGCAUGUGAGAAUGCUUUUAAUAUUGUAGACUUAAAACACGAAAUGCGAUUGUUGGAAUCUUCUGCCCCUGGUAUAUGUGAGGAGCUUGAAUCCAUUGGUUUUCUAAGUGGCCUCAUGUGUAGUCACCAUGUAGAAGAUAUAAUGUCAUGACCACUAAUAUAUCUAAAAGUUUGAAUUCUGUCAUGCUCAAGGCUAGGGAGUUACCAAUAUGUUCCAUGCUUGAGGUUUUGCAAAUGGUGUUACAAAUAUGAUUUUUCAAACGAAGAAAUGAAGCUGAUUAUCAAGUUACAGAUUUUAUAAAAACAAUUGAAGGUAUAUUAAGGGAACAGAUUGAACGUAAUCAAUCAAUGAAGGUUAAUCUGGUUAACAACAUCAAAUACCAGGUCAUAGAUGGAACCUCGCAAUAUGUGGUUUACUUACCUACGAAGGUUUGUAGUUGCAGGAUGUGGUAUAUAUUGGAAAUACCUUGUGUGCAUGCAUGUGCUGUUUUCACCAUGAACCGUUUGUCAAUUAAAUCAUAUGUCUCAGCUCUUUACUUGAACAACACUUUAAGUUUAAUAUAUAGAGGAGUAAUAAAUCCAUUAUACGAUCAUCGAUAAUGGCAAAUACCUGAUGAUGUUAUGUCCAUUGUCAUCCUCUCACCGAGUGUAAAACGUGCAGUUGGUUAAUUGAAGAAAAUUAGAAUUUCUUCAAAAAUAAAGUUCAAGAGACGCGUUAAAUGUGGCCGUUGUAGAUGUGUUGAUCAUAAUCGGAAAAGAUGCAAGUUUUCCUUAGAUGAUUCGUUAUUUAUUAUGUUUUUUACUUUUAAUUUAAAUUUUUAUAUUGUAAUGUUGUUAAAAUUUAAAUUUCAACUCUAAAGUUAUCUUCAAAUUCCAUGAAA